RNAcentral lists this transfer RNA (69 nucleotides) under Marmota marmota marmota (Alpine marmot). It matches the Rfam family "tRNA". From Rfam's summary of the family: Transfer RNA (tRNA) molecules are approximately 80 nucleotides in length. Their secondary structure includes four short double-helical elements and three loops (D, anti-codon, and T loops). RNAcentral also lists the same sequence under 1 other name. Lineage: Eukaryota; Metazoa; Chordata; Mammalia; Rodentia; Sciuridae. The record is from Rfam by way of RNAcentral.
GGAGUUGUGGCUCAGUGGUAGAGUGCUUGCCUGGCAUGUGUGAGGCCCUGAGUUCAAUCCUCAGCACCA